Molecule: non-coding RNA, 207 nt
Organism: Pelobates cultripes (western spadefoot toad)
Lineage: Eukaryota; Metazoa; Chordata; Amphibia; Anura; Pelobatidae
Source: the annotation of a GenBank genome assembly
GUUAUAUAGCAACUAGUGCUAUUGGAGCACUGGCCCACCCUGCUCUCCAAAUGCUCCGCCCCAGGGACCCUUACCAUGGUUUGCAGAGUACCAACAAUGUAUCUUGCAAUGUAUCCAAAAUCUCUCCCUGGGGCAUUUAAUUGAGAAACCUCAGGCUGCCGUUUAGUAAAUCAGGCCUAAUGUAUCUUCCCUCAGCAACCAUUCCAC